GCUAAGGUGGCAGAGCCCGGAAAUUGCAAAAGGCCUAAGCCCUUUAAACAGGGGUUCAAAUCCUCUCCUUAACU
Molecule: transfer RNA, 74 nt
Filed under: Tridentiger trigonocephalus
Lineage: Eukaryota; Metazoa; Chordata; Actinopteri; Gobiiformes; Gobiidae
Description: tRNA-Leu
Rfam family: tRNA
About the family: Transfer RNA (tRNA) molecules are approximately 80 nucleotides in length.
Source: RNAcentral